RNAcentral lists this unclassified non-coding RNA (1221 nucleotides) under Hevea brasiliensis (rubber tree). Lineage: Eukaryota; Viridiplantae; Streptophyta; Magnoliopsida; Malpighiales; Euphorbiaceae. The record is from RNAcentral.
AGAACACUUAAUUCUGAGCUGAACUUGCAGCAGAAGCUGUUGAGUUUCUGUUCAAUCCAUUUCCAAUAUGAGUACCCAUAUUACCAUGGUCUCUUUGGAGUGUGUGUGAAGAAUCCACUAUAUUAGUAACUGCUGAAACAGAGCCAGCUCUACUAUUUUCUCGAGUUUCCAGAUGUUCCAUCAGGUGAGAUAGACUAGCAAUUCCAACAUUUGACUCUCUCCUAACAGGACCAGCAUCCGGCAUUGAAGAACUUCGAGAAAACAAUCUCUCCUUCCACUCUCGUGUAUUCUUUGAGAUCGAUUCUUUAUAUUUCAUUGACAUAGAACUAAAUCGAGAUCUCCAGGACUCUGAAAAUGACUGCAACUCUGAUGGUCCAGCUCUCCUAUGGAUUGGUGUAAAGGAUGAACUAGAAGAGCUUCUAUCACCACUAGAUAGUCCUUGUGCUGUGGCAGGCGUUAGAACGGAACCAGAUGAUAAAGCAGAAAGUUGAUCACUUUGAACUGAAGGAAGGUAAGGCAUCUGUCGUGGUGAAUCACUGCUACCGGAGCUAAUGGGAAGAGGGGAAUCAACUGUUGUGAUUGCAGCAGGAUCAGAAAGUGAUCCAGUAGGAUAAGGUGAAACAGAAGCGGUAGGAGAUGAAUUAUGAUGAGUUGGAAAUACUAAAAGUUGUGGACGGUUAUUGGUGGAUGAACGAUUUCUUGAGCCCUCCAUUCGACCCGCAUGGUGAGCUCUUCCCAUUGAAGCAGCAACAGCCAAAUGCUGAAGAAUGCGCUCUUCAAGUUCAGGAUCAUCAAUAUCCACAGGUAACUGGAGUGCCAUGAAUGAAGAAUAAAUAGAGGUAAACAGAACAUGCUAGCUUGUGAAACUCAGAAAUCAGAUGAAAAAAGAAAAUGCUUAUCCUUUAAGGCAGCCACACACAUGCUGUAGUUCAAAAUCUCCCAGUGCAGGAAACUGAAAUACUGUAGCAUUUCUUUCUGCAUUAACUCUAAAAUUCCUUUCUUGUUCCACAGCCUCAAACAAUUCUUGACUCAUCUGAUCUUUCAGACUUAUGGACUGCCAACACAUAGGACAAUUAGAACUUCUCUGACACCAUUCCAGGACGCACUGGAGAUGAAACUCAUGCUUGCAGCUAGUUACCGAGGGAGGAUCGCUUUCGCAGAAAGCCUCGAGACAAAUGCUGCAAGCAUCAUCACAUGCAUCCUGAAUUCCUCCUUCCACAA